Molecule: ribosomal RNA, 531 nt
Filed under: uncultured bacterium
Lineage: Bacteria
Description: bacterial SSU rRNA
Rfam family: Bacterial small subunit ribosomal RNA
Source: RNAcentral
AGAGUUUGAUCAUGGCUCAGAACGAACGCUGGCGGCGUGGAUAAGACAUGCAAGUCGAACGGAGUUUAUUUUGAUAGCAAUAUUAAAGUAAGCUUAGUGGCGAAAGGGUGCGUAACACGUGGGAAUCUACCGAGAAGUGGAGAAUAGCUCACCGAAAGGUGGGAUAAUGCUUCAUGUGAACGAGAGUUUAAAGUCAGGGACCGCAAGGCCUGACGCUUCUUGAGGAGCCCGCGGCCUAUCAGCUAGUUGGAGAGGUAAAAGCUCACCAAGGCGAUGACGGGUAGCUGGUCUGAGAGGACGACCAGCCACACUGGAACUGAGACACGGUCCAGACACCUACGGGUGGCAGCAGUCGAGAAUUUUUCACAAUGGGGGAAACCCUGAUGGAGCGACGCCGCGUGGAGGAUGAAGGUUUUCGGAUUGUAAACUCCUGUCACCAUAGAACAAGCAAUACAGGCUAACAGUUUGUAAAGUUGAUAGUACAUGGGGAGGAAGGGACGGCUAACUCUGUGCCAGCCGCCGCGGUAAUUC